GCUUACGGCCAUACCACCUUAGGGACGCCCGAUCUCGUCUGAUCUCGGUAGCUAAGCAGGGACGGGCCUGGUUAGUACUUGGAUGGGUGACCGCCUGGGAAUACCAGGUGCUGUAAGCA
This is a ribosomal RNA of Gadus morhua (Atlantic cod), 119 nucleotides long. The record is from Ensembl. Lineage: Eukaryota; Metazoa; Chordata; Actinopteri; Gadiformes; Gadidae.